This is a non-coding RNA of Petromyzon marinus (sea lamprey), 1134 nucleotides long. The record is from RefSeq and is a predicted model, not a curated record. Lineage: Eukaryota; Metazoa; Chordata; Hyperoartia; Petromyzontiformes; Petromyzontidae.
CCCCGCUCAACAACGUCAACAAACUGCAAGAGAGCAGUGCGGGAAGAAUACAAACGUCGUGUGCUCCGUGGCCCCUGGGUGCCAGCUGGCGUUCCUCCUCGGGGUCUCAUCGGCCGCGGGCAAUGGGAGGAGGGCGAGAGGUCCGCGCCUAGGUGGUGAGGGUUGGGGGGGGGAGGAGGUGGGGCGCAGGAAAGGAGCGGCGGACAGCCGGGGCGGCCUCUUUGGCCUCAACCCCAAGAUCAGGCCACGGGGAACGCCGCGCGGCUCCACGUGCACGCGCGACCCCGUGGCAGUGUGACGCACGCGGCCACACGGGUGGGCUUCCAUUGGCUAGGUACACGCCGCCCCGCCACGACGUUCGACCUUCCAACCACUCCCCAACGAGCACGCGUAGGCGGAGGAGGCCACGUGGACCACACGCGCGGUGCCACCGCACGCACAAAGUGUACGCGACCCCACGGCUACAACACGGCUCCCACAGUGCUUCUGCGCCGUGCGUAGUGACGCGGCUCACGCAGGUGAGGUUAGCAGGUGAGAGUGCUAAUGGAAGGCAGGGGACACCAACCCCGACAAGAGGAUGGAGAAGAAAAUCCACGAGCAGCACAACGGCGAGAAAAUCGAUGGCAGCACGGAGACCCACAGCGAGAGCGACGACAGCCACAGCUACGGCACUCAACCGGGCUGGGAGGCCGAGACACACGGAUGGCACCGGAAGAUGAAGCUGAUCCCAACCGAGCUGAUCCACAGGGAGGUCUGUCAGAAUGGCACGGAGACCAGCCCAGUCUCACAAAGACUCACGGAGACCAGCCCAGUCUCACAAAGCAUGACGGAGACCAGCCCAGUCUCACAAAGACUCACGGAGACCGGCCCAGUCUCACAAAGACUCACAGAGACCAGCCCAGUCUCACAAAGACUCACGGAGACCGGCCCAGUCUCACAAAGACUCACAGAGACCGGCCCAGUCUCACAAAGACUCACGGAGACCGGCCCAGUCUCACAAAGAUUCAUGGAGACCAGCCCAGUCUCACAAAGGCUCACAGAGACCGGCCCAGUCUCACAAAGACUCACGGAGACCAGCCCAGUCUCACAAAGACUCACAGAGACCAGCCCAGUCUCACAAAGACUCACGGAGAC